RNAcentral lists this ribosomal RNA (921 nucleotides) under uncultured bacterium. RNAcentral describes it as "bacterial SSU rRNA". It matches the Rfam family "Bacterial small subunit ribosomal RNA", at positions 8 to 916 of the family's 1533-position model. The record is from RNAcentral.
AGAGUUUGAUCAUGGCUCAGAUUGAACGCUGGCGGCAGGCUUAACACAUGCAAGUCGAGCGGUAACAGAGAGUAGCUUGCUACUUUGCUGACGAGCGGCGGACGGGUGAGUAAUGCUUGGGAAUAUGCCUUUGAGUGGGGGACAACAGUUGGAAACGACUGCUAAUACCGCAUAAUGUCUACGGACCAAAGGGGGGGACGCUUCGGCACCUCUCGCUCAUAGAUUAGCCCAAGUGAGAUUAGCUAGUUGGUAAGGUAAAGGCUUACCAAGGCGACGAUCUCUAGCUGGUUUGGGAGGAUGAUCAGCCACACUGGGACUGAGACACGGCCCAGACUCCUACGGGAGGCAGCAGUGGGGAAUAUUGCACAAUGGGCGAAAGCCUGAUGCAGCCAUGCCGCGUGUGUGAAGAAGGCCUUCGGGUUGUAAAGCACUUUCAGUUGUGAGGAAAGGAGUGUAGUUAAUAACUGCAUUCUAUGACGUUAGCAACAGAAGAAGCACCGGCUAACUCCGUGCCAGCAGCCGCGGUAAUACGGAGGGUGCGAGCGUUAAUCGGAAUUACUGGGCGUAAAGCGUGCGUAGGCGGAUUGUUAAGUGAGAUGUGAAAGCCCCGGGCUCAACCUGGGAACUGCAUUUCAAACUGGCAGUCUAGAGUAUUGUAGAGGGUGGUGGAAUUUCCAGUGUAGCGGUGAAAUGCGUAGAGAUUGGAAGGAACAUCAGUGGCGAAGGCGGCCACCUGGACAAAUACUGACGCUGAGGCACGAAAGCGUGGGGAGCAAACAGGAUUAGAUACCCUGGUAGUCCACGCCGUAAACGAUGUCAACUAGCUGUCUGUAGACUUGAUCUGUGGGUAGCGAAGCUAACGCGAUAAGUUGACCGCCUGGGGAGUACGGCCGCAAGGUUAAAACUCAAAGGAAUUGACGG